CCAAUGUGAAGACUACAGCACUC
RNAcentral lists this non-coding RNA (23 nucleotides) under Rattus norvegicus (Norway rat). The record is from RNAcentral. Lineage: Eukaryota; Metazoa; Chordata; Mammalia; Rodentia; Muridae.